Molecule: ribosomal RNA, 490 nt
Filed under: uncultured bacterium
Lineage: Bacteria
Description: partial 16S ribosomal RNA
Rfam family: Bacterial small subunit ribosomal RNA
Source: RNAcentral
AUUGAACGCUGGCGGCAGGCCUAACACAUGCAAGUCGAACGGUAACAGGAAACAGCUUGCUGUUUCGCUGACGAGUGGCGGACGGGUGAGUAAUGUCUGGGAAACUGCCUGAUGGAGGGGGAUAACUACUGGAAACGGUAGCUAAUACCGCAUAACGUCGCAAGACCAAAGAGGGGGACCCUUGGGCCUCUUGCCCUCGUAUGUGCCCAGAUGGGAUUAGCUUGUUGGUGGGGUAACGGCUCACCAAGGCGACGAUCCCUAGCUGGUCUGAGAGGAUGAGCAGCCACACUGGAACUGAGACACGGUCCAGACUCCUACGGGAGGCAGCAGUGGGGAAUAUUGCACAAUGGGCGCAAGCCUGAUGCAGCCAUGCCGCGUGUAUGAAGAAGGCCUUCGGGUUGUAAAGUACUUUCAGCGGGGAGGAAGGGAGUAAAGUUAAUACCUUGGCUCAUUGACGUUACCCGCAGAAGAAGCACCGGCUAACUCCGUG